GACGGAGGGUGCUAGCGUUGUUCGGAAUCACUGGGCGUAAAGGGCGCGUAGGCGGCCAGGCAAGUCGGCUUGUGAAAGCCCGGGGCUCAACCCCGGAGGUGCGGCCGGGACUGCUUGGCUGGAGGCCGGAAGAGGAGGGUGGAAUACCCAGUGUAGAGGUGAAAUCCGUAGAUAUUGGGUGGAACACCGGUGGCGAAAGCGGCUCUCUGGUCCGGUUCUGACGCUGAGGCGCGAAAGCGUGGGGAGCAAACAGG
This 254-nucleotide ribosomal RNA is filed under the name uncultured bacterium. RNAcentral's name for it is "partial 16S ribosomal RNA". It matches the Rfam family "Bacterial small subunit ribosomal RNA", at positions 524 to 776 of the family's 1533-position model. The record is from RNAcentral.